CCUACGGGAGGCAGCAGUGGGGAAUAUUGGACAAUGGGGGGAACCCUGAUCCAGCCCUGCCGCGUGUGUGAAGAAGGCCCUCGGGUUGUAAAGCACUUUCAGUGAGGAAGAACGCCUGGUGGUUAAUACCCAUCAGGAAAGACAUCACUCACAGAAGAAGCACCGGCUAACUCCGUGCCAGCAGCCGCGGUAAUACGGAGGGUGCGAGCGUUAAUCGGAAUUACUGGGCGUAAAGCGCGCGUAGGUGGCUUGAUAAGCCGGUUGUGAAAGCCCCGGGCUCAACCUGGGAACGGCAUCCGGAACUGUCAAGCUAGAGUGCAGGAGAGGAAGGUAGAAUUCCCGGUGUAGCGGUGAAAUGCGUAGAGAUCGGGAGGAAUACCAGUGGCGAAGGCGGCCUUCUGGACUGACACUGACACUGAGGUGCGAAAGCGUGGGUAGCAAACAGGAUUAGAUACCCUUGUAGUC
RNAcentral lists this ribosomal RNA (465 nucleotides) under Vreelandella stevensii. RNAcentral describes it as "partial 16S ribosomal RNA". It matches the Rfam family "Bacterial small subunit ribosomal RNA", at positions 338 to 795 of the family's 1533-position model. The record is from RNAcentral. Lineage: Bacteria; Pseudomonadati; Pseudomonadota; Gammaproteobacteria; Oceanospirillales; Halomonadaceae.